Molecule: transfer RNA, 77 nt
Filed under: Flavobacteriales bacterium
Lineage: Bacteria; Pseudomonadati; Bacteroidota; Flavobacteriia; Flavobacteriales
Description: tRNA-His
Rfam family: tRNA
About the family: Transfer RNA (tRNA) molecules are approximately 80 nucleotides in length. Their secondary structure includes four short double-helical elements and three loops (D, anti-codon, and T loops).
Source: RNAcentral
GUGGCUAUAGCUCAGUUGGUUAGAGCAUCGGUUUGUGGUACCGAGGGUCGUGGGUUCGAGUCCCAUUAGCCACCCUA